This is a long non-coding RNA of Symphalangus syndactylus (siamang), 582 nucleotides long. RefSeq lists it as uncharacterized. The record is from RefSeq and is a predicted model, not a curated record. NCBI's taxonomy places the organism in Eukaryota, Metazoa, Chordata, Mammalia, Primates, Hylobatidae.
CCGGUUGCCGGAGCCUGGAGCCUGCGUCUUUUGUCUGCCUUGCUCCUGCGAAGGAGCGGGAGACGGCUGCGCGCCCCAAGCGGGCCAAUCAGGAGACAGCCGGCGCCGGCCGGUAAGGCGGCGAUUGGUCAGAGCCCAGUUACUAAGCGGGACAAAGGCAGAAGGGGAAAAGAAAAGAGGAGGAAAAAAAAGAAAGAAAGAAAGGAAGAAAACGCAAACGGCGGUUACUGACAGGCUGGGUAGAAGAUACUGGAAGAUCAACUCUAAUUUGUGGCUGCCUUCCCAGCAGUCUCUGCUUCAGCAUAUCUGGGAGCCAGAAGCACUCAAGUAUGAUAACUCAAAAGACAGAACAAUCAGUCAAGGGGGUAGAGGCUGCCUUCUACUCUGCUCAUCUUACGCCUCUUGGAAAGGAGACAUUCCAUGAAGAUUACUACUAUUCUCUAAACUUCAUUCGGGACCCUAUUCCUUCCCUGUUGAUGUCAGUGUGUGAAAUUCUAAAUUAUGUCGUGGUAGUAUACGUUCAAAAGCAAUAUAUUUUCAAAUAAACAAAAAAUAUAAUUGGCCAUCACAUAUACCAAAUAU